This 301-nucleotide ribosomal RNA is filed under the name uncultured bacterium. RNAcentral's name for it is "partial 16S ribosomal RNA". It matches the Rfam family "Bacterial small subunit ribosomal RNA", at positions 509 to 809 of the family's 1533-position model. The record is from RNAcentral.
CAGCAGCCGCGGGAAUACGUAGGGUGCAAGCGUUAAUCGGAAUUACUGGGCGUAAAGCGUGCGCAGGCGGUUAUAUAAGACAGAUGUGAAAUCCCCGGGCUCAACCUGGGAACUGCAUUUGUGACUGUAUAGCUAGAGUACGGCAGAGGGAGAUGGAAUUCCGCGUGUAGCAGUGAAAUGCGUAGAUAUGCGGAGGAACACCGAUGGCGAAGGCAAUCCCCUGGGCCUGUACUGACGCUCAUGCACGAAAGCGUGGGGAGCAAACAGGAUUAGAUACCCGAGUAGUCCCUGUCUCUUAUAA